GUGCCAGCCGCCGCGGUAAUACGUAGGUGGCAAGCGUUAUCCGGAAUUAUUGGGCGUAGAGCGCGCGUAGGCGGUUUUUUAAGUCUGAUGUGAAAGCCCACGGCUCAACCGUGGAGGGUCAUUGGAAACUGGAAAACUUGAGUGCGGAAGAGGAAAGUGGAAUUCCAUGUGUAGCGGUGAAAUGCGCAGAGAUAUGGAGGAACACCAGUGGCGAAGGCGACUUUCUGGUCUGUAACUGACGCUGAUGUGCGAAAGCGUGGGGAUCAAACAGG
RNAcentral lists this ribosomal RNA (272 nucleotides) under uncultured Staphylococcus sp. RNAcentral's name for it is "partial 16S ribosomal RNA". It matches the Rfam family "Bacterial small subunit ribosomal RNA", at positions 505 to 776 of the family's 1533-position model. Lineage: Bacteria; Bacillati; Bacillota; Bacilli; Caryophanales; Staphylococcaceae. The record is from RNAcentral.